AGCUCUGUAAGCGUAUACCAAAGUUGUUGCAGUUAAAACGCUCGUAGUCGGACUUUGGCGCGACCCGCGCUGUGCACGUAAUGUGUGUGGCGCGGAGCGCGCUUUUGUGAAUGGCGGCACGUGGUGGCUUCACUGUCGUUGCGUGUCGGCGUCACCGUUUACUGUGAAAAAAUUAGAGUGUUCAAAGCAGGCGUUUGCCGUGAAUACAUUAGCAUGGAAUAAUAGAAUAGGACCUGGUUUCUAUUUUGUUGGUUUGAAAGAACCUGGUAAUGAUUAAGAGGGACGGUUGGGGGCAUUUGUAUUCCAGCGUCAGAGGUGAAAUUCUUGGAUUGCUGGAAGACAAACCGCUGCGAAAGCGUCUGCCAAGGACGUUUUCA
Molecule: ribosomal RNA, 377 nt
Filed under: uncultured eukaryote
Lineage: Eukaryota
Description: SSU rRNA
Rfam family: Eukaryotic small subunit ribosomal RNA
Source: RNAcentral